CUGGCUCAGGAUGAACGCUGGCGGCGUGCCUAACACAUGCAAGUCGAACGGGGUUAAGGGAAAUUUCGGAUGGAACUUAACUUAGUGGCGGACGGGUGAGUAACGCGUGGAUAACCUGCCUCACACUGGGGGGAUAGCAGCUGGAAACGGCUGGUAAUACCGCAUAAGACCACGGUGCCGCAUGGCACCGGGGUAAAAGAUUUAUCGGUGUGAGAUGGAUCCGCGUCUGAUUAGCCAGUUGGCGGGGUAACGGCCCACCAAAGCGACGAUCAGUAGCCGGCCUGAGAGGGUGAACGGCCACAUUGGGACUGAGACACGGCCCAAACUCCUACGGGAGGCAGCAGUGGGGAAUAUUGCACAAUGGGCGCAAGCCUGAUGCAGCAACGCCGCCGUGAGUGAAGAAGUAUUUCGGUAUGUAAAGCUCUAUCGGCAGGGAAGAAAGGCCCGAAAGGGAGAUGACGGUACCUGACUAAGAAGCCCCGGCUAACUACGUGCCAGCAGCAGC
Molecule: ribosomal RNA, 505 nt
Filed under: uncultured bacterium
Lineage: Bacteria
Description: bacterial SSU rRNA
Rfam family: Bacterial small subunit ribosomal RNA
Source: RNAcentral